Long non-coding RNA from Rhineura floridana, 627 nucleotides. RefSeq lists it as uncharacterized. The record is from RefSeq and is a predicted model, not a curated record. Lineage: Eukaryota; Metazoa; Chordata; Lepidosauria; Squamata; Rhineuridae. The transcript is spliced from 3 exons.
CGGUGCCUGUGUGUGCGCGCACGCUGCUGCUUUCCGUCUCUGCCUCUUUGCCUCCGGCGUUACAGAAUAAAUUGCUUGGCAGAGGCCUGAGGGGGAAGAUGAUUUUAAAUUUCUAGCUCUUAUUUCAAUGAGGAACCGUGAAAGACUAGAGCUGAGGUGUGGAAUCUGUGGUCCUCCAGCUGUUGUUGGACUCCAACUCCCAUUAGCACCAGCCAGCAUUGCCAAAGAUGUUUUCCUAACCUCUGGCACAGGAAUCGUCUGGAAGAAUCCAAGACUGAGCAAAGCUCACUGCAUUUGUAGCGAUGGAUCCACUGGGCAUCUUAUAUUCCUGUUCAUAUUCAGCAUCAUAUCUUCCACAAAUUCCACAGGUUUUCCCAGUCAUCCAGAAAGGUACUUGAAUCUGCAUGGGAACAUAGUAAAAGUCAAUGAAGUGCUGGCCACACACAUUUUUAAAAAUCCAAAACACUAAUAGCCUGGCAAAGUAAAGUAUACCUUGAGCAUGUGUCCAUCAUAGAAGAGUUUUUCAAUGCCAGUUUCUGGAGCUUUUAAUAACAAACCAUUCUUCUCAUGUUUGAUAAGGAUAUAUUCACCUGUAACCAGAAAAUAAAAUUUUAUUCCCCUACAGAA